This 253-nucleotide ribosomal RNA is filed under the name uncultured bacterium. RNAcentral's name for it is "partial 16S ribosomal RNA". It matches the Rfam family "Bacterial small subunit ribosomal RNA", at positions 524 to 776 of the family's 1533-position model. The record is from RNAcentral.
UACAGAGGGUGCAAGCGUUAAUCGGAAUUACUGGGCGUAAAGCGCACGCAGGCGGUUGGUUAAGUCAGAUGUGAAAGCCCCAGGCUCAACCUGGGACUUGCAUUUGAAACUGGCCAACUAGCGUAGGUGAGAGGGGGGUAGAAUUCCAAGUGUAGCGGUGAAAUGCGUAGAGAUUUGGAGGAAUACCAGUGGCGAAGGCGGCCCCCUGGCACGAUACUGACGCUCAGGUGCGAAAGCGUGGGGAGCAAACAGG